CUUGUUGUUCGGCUCUAUGUUACUGUAGUCUGCUAGUGUAUUAAAGAUGUAAGGGAUGAAAACUAUGAGAAUUACAAUAAUAACUACCUGAGACAAAGUGAUGUGAACACACAAAAUAGUUGCAACUUCUUCCAUAAAUCAACGCAAUAGGUUUGACAUACAACACAGAGUGCCAGACUACAGUAACAUAGAGCCGAACAACAAGGUGAUU
Molecule: long non-coding RNA, 211 nt
Organism: Daphnia magna
Lineage: Eukaryota; Metazoa; Arthropoda; Branchiopoda; Diplostraca; Daphniidae
Exons: 2
Source: RefSeq, a predicted model, not a curated record